This is an RNA transcript of Mus musculus (house mouse), 2508 nucleotides long. It is a transcript of the gene named mitochondrial tRNA translation optimization 1, with no coding region annotated. Lineage: Eukaryota; Metazoa; Chordata; Mammalia; Rodentia; Muridae. The transcript is spliced from 12 exons. The record is from RefSeq and is marked validated.
CAGCGCUGAAAGUACCUGCGGGGGGAGGAAGGGGGGGGGAGAACGCACAGGGCCUGCGCGCACCUCCCCGCGGCGAAGCUCCAACCCGCCAAUCAAAAGCGUCGCUGGACGCAGGCGCGCUACGCGCUGACUCGGCCAAGAUGGCGACGCCCAGCUGGCUUCUACUCCGGUGACAGUUCCGGGCGUCUCUAGCUAGCUUCCCUCAACAUGUUCCUUCUCCGAGGCCGUGGCCAUUGGGCCGCAGCGUCCCUCGGCAGACGGCUGCCUUUGCGUCGCCUCCGCAGCGACAGCGCGGCGCCCUGCACCCCGCACUUCGACGUGGUAGUUAUCGGAGGAGGGCACGCGGGGACCGAGGCGGCCGCCGCCGCCGCUCGCUGUGGCUCGCGGACCCUGCUUCUCACGCACCGCGUGGACACGAUCGGUCAGAUGUCCUGUAAUCCUUCCUUUGGUGGCAUCGGAAAGGGGCAUUUGAUGAGAGAAGUGGAUGCCUUGGAUGGUCUGUGUUCCCGGAUCUGUGACCAGUCUGGUAUACAUUACAAAGUGCUAAACCGGCGUAAGGGCCCUGCUGUGUGGGGACUGAGAGCACAGAUUGACCGGAAACUUUAUAAACAGAACAUGCAGAAAGAAAUCCUGAGCACGCCCCUACUCACUGUUCAGAAGGGAGCUGUAGAAGAUCUAGUUCUUGCAGAACCAGAGCCUGGGUACCCUGGGAAGUCCAGGGUCAGAGGUGUUGUCCUGGCAGAUGGAAGUACAAUUUAUGCAGAGAGUGUAAUUCUGACUACUGGGACAUUUCUGAGAGGCAUGAUCAUAAUUGGAUUGGAGAUGCAUCCUGCAGGACGUUUGGGGGAUCAGCCCUCCAUAGGGUUGGCUCAGACUCUGGAGAAGUUGGGAUUUAUGGUAGGAAGACUAAAGACUGGAACUCCACCCCGACUCGCUAAAGAGUCCAUUAAUUUCUCCAUUCUAAACAAGCACACACCAGAUGAUCCAUCCAUACCAUUCAGCUUUCUCAGUGACAGCGUGUGGAUCAAGCCGGAAGACCAACUGCCAUGUUACUUGACUCACACCAACCCCCGAGUGGAUGCGAUUGUCCUUGAGAACCUUCACCUGAAUAGCCACGUUCAGGAAACUACAAAAGGGCCCCGAUACUGUCCCUCUAUUGAAUCAAAGGUUUUACGUUUUCCAAAUCGUCUGCAUCAGGUUUGGUUGGAGCCUGAAGGAAUGGAUUCCGACCUCAUCUACCCGCAAGGGUUAUCUGUUACACUGCCAGCUGAGUUACAGGAGAAAAUGAUAACAUGCAUCAGAGGCUUGGAGAAAGCCAAAAUGGUUCACCCAGGCUAUGGUGUGCAGUAUGAUUAUUUAGACCCCCGUCAGAUCAGUCCUUCCCUCGAGACACACUUGGUUCAGCGGCUGUUCUUUGCUGGACAGAUAAAUGGAACCACUGGCUAUGAGGAAGCUGCAGCUCAGUCCUCUUCUAGGGGGUGAUAGCUGGAAUCAAUGCCAGUCUACGAGUCAGUCGAAAGCCACCCUUUGUUGUGAGUCGCACAGAAGGCUACAUAGGAGUCUUGAUUGAUGACCUCACUACCCUGGGCACCAGUGAGCCAUACCGAAUGUUCACUAGCAGAGUAGAGUUCCGAUUGUCACUGCGCCCCGAUAAUGCUGACACCCGGCUCACGUUCCGAGCCCAUAAGGAAGCUGGCUGUGUGUCCUCACAGCGAUUUGAAAGAGCUUUGUGGAUGAAGUCAUCUUUAGAAGAAGGUAUUUCUGUGUUGAAAUCCAUUAAAUUUUCAAGCUCCAAAUGGAAAAAGUUAAUUCCACAAAUUCCUAUAAGUAUUAAUAGAAGCCUUCCUGUCAGUGCUCUGGAUGUUCUUAAGUAUGAAGAAGUGGACAUGGAGUCGCUCGUCGGCGUGCUUCCCGAGCCCUUGGAGAAGUAUACUGCAUGUAGAGAGCUCGCCAGAAGACUGAAAAUAGAAGCCAGUUAUGAGUCAGUAUUGUCAUAUCAGCUACAAGAAAUAAAGGAGGUUCAGCAAGAUGAAGCUUUGCAGCUUCCACACGAGCUCGACUACCUAACCAUCAGGGAUGUGUCAUUGUCCCAGGAAGUCCGGGAGAAGCUACACUUGAGUCGCCCACAGACGAUUGGGGCUGCUAGUCGUAUUCCUGGAGUGACACCAGCUGCCAUCAUCAAUCUGCUCAGAUUUGUGAGGAGCACGCGGCAGAGCAGACAGCAGUGACAGAACGCCAGGCCAAUCGGUGCUUGUGAACUUUCAUUUCAUAGAGGACUUAGAGUGAGGGCUUAGGGCAAUGGUUUUCAGCCCCGUAAAACAGUUCCUUGUGUUGUGGUGAGCCCCAAACACACAAUUAUUUCAUUCCUACUUCAUACUGUUACGAAUCAUAAUGUAAAUAUCUAAUAUUCAAUCCCUGUGGGAGUCUCAAGCCAUGGGCUGAGAACCGCUGGCUUAGAGAGUAUGAAUAGGAAAUAAAGAUGACACUGAAAAUACUGUUGUUAGGUGA